UGCCGCCAUAUCACGUUGAAACAUCGGUUCCCGUACUAUUACCGAAGUUAAGCAACGUCGUGGCUGGUCAGCACCUAGAUGGAUGACUGCUUGGGAAUACCAGGUGCUGUAAG
This is a non-coding RNA of Acanthosepion pharaonis, 113 nucleotides long. Lineage: Eukaryota; Metazoa; Mollusca; Cephalopoda; Sepiida; Sepiidae. The record is from the annotation of a GenBank genome assembly.